GCUCGCAUAGUCUAACGGUUAGGACGGGGUCCUGAUAAGACCCAAACCCGAGUUCGACUCUCGGUGUGAGUA
This is a non-coding RNA of Letharia lupina, 72 nucleotides long. The record is from the annotation of a RefSeq genome assembly. NCBI's taxonomy places the organism in Eukaryota, Fungi, Ascomycota, Lecanoromycetes, Lecanorales, Parmeliaceae.